AAGUCGUAACAAGGUUUCCGUAGGUGAACCUGCGGAAGGAUCAUUAAAAGAUUUUUGGUAUAAUUUUUUGGGGUCAAUUGAUCUCAAAAAAUAAUUCACCUUUUGUGCAUUGUUAUUAAGAUAUACUUUGGUUAGAGCUUUGACAUUAAGUCAACUUCUUGCUAACUCUAUCCUUUAAAGGACAGUUGGCUAUGAAGCGUGCCUACCAAGGUUUUUUAUCAAACUCUUUGUAUUUUGUCUGACCUAAAUAAAUAAUUAAUAAUUAAAUCAUAACUUUCAACAACGGAUCUCUUGGCUCUC
RNAcentral lists this unclassified non-coding RNA (300 nucleotides) under fungal sp. RNAcentral's name for it is "partial internal transcribed spacer region". The stretch from base 1 to 46 matches the Rfam family "Eukaryotic small subunit ribosomal RNA", at positions 1786 to 1831 of the family's 1831-position model. The record is from RNAcentral. Lineage: Eukaryota; Fungi.